This 73-nucleotide transfer RNA is filed under the name Acidobacteriota bacterium. Its description in RNAcentral is "Acidobacteria bacterium (bioreactor metagenome) tRNA-Val". It matches the Rfam family "tRNA". Rfam says of the family: Transfer RNA (tRNA) molecules are approximately 80 nucleotides in length. Their secondary structure includes four short double-helical elements and three loops (D, anti-codon, and T loops). The record is from RNAcentral. Lineage: Bacteria; Pseudomonadati; Acidobacteriota.
GACCGGAUAGCUCAGUCGGCAGAGCGUUGGCACGACAAGCCAGAGGUCACAGGUUCGAUUCCUGUUCUGGUCA